This is a long non-coding RNA of Eriocheir sinensis (Chinese mitten crab), 1032 nucleotides long. RefSeq lists it as uncharacterized. The record is from RefSeq and is a predicted model, not a curated record. The transcript is spliced from 6 exons. Lineage: Eukaryota; Metazoa; Arthropoda; Malacostraca; Decapoda; Varunidae.
AGCGCCUCGGCCGUGAGUGUAAAGCAGCGUGGAUGAGGAUCAAAGACCUCGUGGAAGUCUGGAUCAAGACAGGGAGAGGACAUCCGGCUCGGGCAAGUUUGUGUCCGGGUGCAACCAACGUCAGGAAAACCAUAUCAACUCUGUGCUCUCGCUCCUCUGUCUGGUUCAUCGCCAUGCAGUCUCUCGGCGGCCAACAUGGUGGGCGGCGCUCUUCGGCGGGCGGCCACGGCUCCACCAUUGCCCUGGGCGCGCGGGUGUGUGGCGUGGAGGCGGGGUGAAUAUGGGUGCCGGGAAGGCGUGGGGGAGGCGGGGGUGGUUGAGUAACACCCACCAGUUCCUCCAUGAGAGGGAAGGAAGAGGAAAAGCAGGAUGUGUGAUAACAUCUUGUGAAGGCUUGGCCUGCUUCAGCACUGGCAGCAUCUGCAUCAGAGGAUGAAGGAACGGCACAAACAGCUCCACCACCAUGCAUGACUUUCGUGAACCCCACCCACCCCUAACCCAGGGCUUCAUCAACUCUUGCCACUACAGCAUCCAACCAGCCAUCUAGUCUACUCUGUAUGUGUCUUGGUGUGCAGCUGUCAGCAGCUCAGUCCAGCUAUCAUGGAGAAAAUUGGGUGAGGCUGCCUUUCUUGAUGUCUGCUACUCGGAAGUCCAUUAAGGUGGAUCCAUCUGUGGCAGUCUCUCUUGUCAGCGUUCUGUCCAGACACCUCCUGAAGAUUGAUUGUUGGCUGGGUGGUGUCUCUCCAUACAAGUUCUGUUCAGUUGAUGUUUUGCUUUGCUGCAGCGGCUGACUGGGUCGUCAGGGCACCCCACCUGAAAUAUUCAACCAGUUAAUAACAUCAAGAUGCUCCAGUUCCCUCAGCAGCCUCAAAAUACAGGUUAUAAGAAAAAUGUUGGGUUUCUCAGGCAAGGUCUGAAAUAUGCUUUGCCAGAUUAAAAUCAUUAUCCAAUGGUAUGUUAAGUUAUUCCUUGUAGAAAAUGAUAAGGUAUAAUUUUAUCUGCUGUUAAUAAUAAAGAUAUUGGUGGGGACAA